ACCUACUGUUUAAUUUUGAGGGUUCGUUUUUACGAAUACUCAAAAUUAGCACUUUUAGCAACAGAAUAAACUGAACGCAUGUGAAGUUUGUUUGUUGGCGCUGUGCGUUAGCACUUUAAGCAACGGGAUUUAUCCGUUGGCGCCGUGCGUUAGCACUUUGAAAACUGCAUAUAUAUUUAGUGAUAUGACAUCUAAUUUGUAAUAUAUAAAGCUGAUAACUUUUUAAAAUUAUCGAAGUUGAUAGCUUCUAAUCUAUCAAACCUUUUUAACUGGUCAA
This 277-nucleotide unclassified non-coding RNA is filed under the name Clostridioides difficile. RNAcentral describes it as "16S-23S ribosomal RNA intergenic spacer (ISR)". The record is from RNAcentral. Lineage: Bacteria; Bacillati; Bacillota; Clostridia; Peptostreptococcales; Peptostreptococcaceae.